UCUCCGUAGGUGAACCUGCGGAGGGAUCAUUACCGAGUGAGGGUUUCGGCCCGACCUCCAACCCUUUGUGAAUCAAACCUGUUGCUUCGGGGGCGACCCUGCCGUCCGCGGCUGAGCGCCCCCGGGGUCAAUCAAACACUGCAUUCUCUGCGUCGGAGUAUUAGUAAAUCUAAUCAAAACUUUCAACAACGGAUCUCUUGGUUCCAGCAUCGAUGAAGAACGCAGC
RNAcentral lists this unclassified non-coding RNA (226 nucleotides) under uncultured fungus. Its description in RNAcentral is "sequence contains ITS1, 5.8S rRNA gene". The stretch from base 178 to 226 matches the Rfam family "5.8S ribosomal RNA", at positions 1 to 49 of the family's 154-position model. The record is from RNAcentral. Lineage: Eukaryota; Fungi.